This 361-nucleotide ribosomal RNA is filed under the name Mantidactylus melanopleura. RNAcentral describes it as "partial 16S ribosomal RNA". It matches the Rfam family "Bacterial large subunit ribosomal RNA", at positions 2013 to 2538 of the family's 2925-position model. The record is from RNAcentral. Lineage: Eukaryota; Metazoa; Chordata; Amphibia; Anura; Mantellidae.
AGACUGUCUCCUUUUUCAAAUCAGUGAAAUUAAUCUCCCCGUGAAGAAGCGGGGAUACCCAUAUAAGACGAGAAGACCCCAUGGAGCUUCAAACCCAACUACACCCCUAGCUCUUAUAGCCCCACAACCCCCCUAGGCACCGUGUGCUUGGUUUUAGGUUGGGGCGACCGCGGAGUACAAUAAAACCUCCACAAUGAAUGGGAACACCCCCUUAUCUGAGGGCCACACCCCCUAAGAAUUAGAACACUAACAUAAAAUGAUCCAUUACUUGAUCAAUGAACCAAGUUACCCUGGGGAUAACAGCGCAAUCCAUUUCAAGAGCCCCUAUCGACAAAUGGGUUUACGACCUCGAUGUUGGAUC